GACGAACGCUGGCGGCGUGCUUAACACGUGCAAGUCGAACGGAAAGGCCCUGCUUUUGUGGGGUGCUCGAGUGGCGAACGGGUGAGUAACACGUGAGUAACCUGCCCUUGACUUUGGGAUAACUUCAGGAAACUGGGGCUAAUACCGGAUAGGAGCUCCUGCUGCAUGGUGGGGGUUGGAAAGUUUCGGCGGUUGGGGAUGGACUCGCGGCUUAUCAGCUUGUUGGUGGGGUAGUGGCUUACCAAGACUUUGACGGGUAGCCGGCCUGAGAGGGUGACCGGCCACAUUGGGACUGAGAUACGGCCCAGACUCCUACGGGAGGCAGCAGUGGGGAAUAUUGCACAAUGGGCGGAAGCCUGAUGCAGCAACGCCGCGUGCGGGAUGACGGCCUUCGGGUUGUAAACCGCUUUCGCCUGUGACGAAGCGUGAGUGACGGUAAUGGGUAAAGAAGCACCGGCUAACUACGUG
This 468-nucleotide ribosomal RNA is filed under the name uncultured bacterium. RNAcentral's name for it is "partial 16S ribosomal RNA". It matches the Rfam family "Bacterial small subunit ribosomal RNA", at positions 28 to 507 of the family's 1533-position model. The record is from RNAcentral.